This 451-nucleotide long non-coding RNA is filed under the name Homo sapiens (human). RNAcentral describes it as "non-protein coding lnc-PSTPIP2-4:1". Lineage: Eukaryota; Metazoa; Chordata; Mammalia; Primates; Hominidae. The record is from RNAcentral.
AGUGGUGGAAGACAUGGGAUGUGUUUUUGAUGAGGAUUUCAGGAGUUGAAACAUAAGUGAAAUAGUAUCCUACAAAAGGCUUUGAACUAUUGAUAAAUUAAUUCAAGAUCUUACCAGUUUAUAAGGCAGUCAUAUAAAGAGAUACAAAUUUUGGUAUUUUUAUAAGACAAUAAUUUUAUUUCAGUUUGAGUCUUCAUGGGAAACCUGACACAUGGGGGGAAAUGUCUUUUGAUAACUUUAAUUUUUGUUAGUUUGAAGGCAUGCAUAAGAAUGAAGCCAUAAGCCAACAGCUUCAUGUUUUACGGAAGGAAGUGAAGCAGUUGCAAGCAGAAGCUGCUAAACCACCAUCACUUAAUAUUGUGGAAGCUGCUGUACAUGCAGAAAACUUGAUCACGGCCUUAGUGAAUGCCUACAAGUUGCAGCCUACACCUGGGAUUCAGAAAGUUGGCAU